This 794-nucleotide ribosomal RNA is filed under the name Pedobacter sp. AKB-2008-PU13. RNAcentral describes it as "bacterial SSU rRNA". It matches the Rfam family "Bacterial small subunit ribosomal RNA", at positions 21 to 812 of the family's 1533-position model. The record is from RNAcentral. Lineage: Bacteria; Pseudomonadati; Bacteroidota; Sphingobacteriia; Sphingobacteriales; Sphingobacteriaceae.
GGCUCAGGAUGAACGCUAGCGGCAGGCCUAAUACAUGCAAGUCGAACGCGAUUAAGGUGCUUGCACCUUAUGAAAGUGGCGCACGGGUGCGUAACGCGUAUGCAACCUACCUUUAUCAGGGGGAUAGCCCGGAGAAAUCCGGAUUAACACCGCAUAAAAUCACAGGAUAGCAUUAUCNAAUGAUCAAAUAUUUAUAGGAUAAAGAUGGGCAUGCGUGUCAUUAGCUAGUUGGCGGGGUAACGGCCCACCAAGGCGACGAUGACUAGGGGAUCUGAGAGGAUGGCCCCCCACACUGGUACUGAGACACGGACCAGACUCCUACGGGAGGCAGCAGUAAGGAAUAUUGGUCAAUGGAGGGAACUCUGAACCAGCCAUGCCGCGUGCAGGAAGACUGCCCUAUGGGUUGUAAACUGCUUUUAUCCGGGAAUAAACCUACUUACGUGUAAGUAGCUGAAUGUACCGGAAGAAUAAGGAUCGGCUAACUCCGUGCCAGCAGCCGCGGUAAUACGGAGGAUCCAAGCGUUAUCCGGAUUUAUUGGGUUUAAAGGGUGCGUAGGCGGCCUGUUAAGUCAGGGGUGAAAGACGGUAGCUCAACUAUCGCAGUGCCCUUGAUACUGAUGGGCUUGAAUGGACUAGAGGUAGGCGGAAUGAGACAAGUAGCGGUGAAAUGCAUAGAUAUGUCUCAGAACACCGAUUGCGAAGGCAGCUUACUAUGGUCUUAUUGACGCUGAGGCACGAAAGCGUGGGGAUCAAACAGGAUUAGAUACCCUGGUAGUCCACGCCCUAAACGAUGA